UACAGGCUUAACACAUGCAAGUCGAGGGCAGCGGGGUAGCAAUACCCGCCGGCGACCGGCGCACGGGUGAGUAACGCGUAUGCAACCUGCCGAUAACUCGGGGAUAGCCUUUCGAAAGAAAGAUUAAUAUCCGAUAGUAUAUUAAAACCGCAUGGUUUUACUAUUAAAGAAUUUCGGUCAUCGAUGGGGAUGCGUUCCAUUAGGUUGUUGGCGGGGUAACGGCCCACCAAGCCUUCGAUGGAUAGGGGUUCUGAGAGGAAGGUCCCCACAUUGGAACUGAGACACGGUCCAAACUCC
Molecule: ribosomal RNA, 297 nt
Filed under: uncultured Bacteroides sp.
Lineage: Bacteria; Pseudomonadati; Bacteroidota; Bacteroidia; Bacteroidales; Bacteroidaceae
Description: partial 16S ribosomal RNA
Rfam family: Bacterial small subunit ribosomal RNA
Source: RNAcentral